UGGGGAAUCUUGCGCAAUGGGCGAAAGCCUGACGCAGCGACGCCGCGUGAGUGAUGAAGGCCUUCGGGUUGUAAAGCUCUGUGGGAGGGGACGAAUAAGUCGGAACGAAUAGCUCCGAUGAUGACGGUACCCUUUUAGCAAGCACCGGCUAACUCUGUGCCAGCAGCCGCGGUAAGACAGAGGGUGCAAACGUUGUUCGGAAUUACUGGGCGUAAAGCGCGUGUAGGCGGCUCGGAAAGUCGGAUGUGAAAGCCCUGGGCUCAACCUAGGAAGUGCAUUCGAAACUUCUGAGCUUGAGUAUCGGAGAGGAAGGCGGAAUUCUCGGUGUAGAGGUGAAAUUCGUAGAUAUCGAGAGGAACACCGGUGGCGAAGGCGGCCUUCUGGACGGUUACUGACGCUGAGACGCGAAAGCGUGGGGAGCAAACA
Molecule: ribosomal RNA, 426 nt
Filed under: uncultured Myxococcales bacterium
Lineage: Bacteria; Pseudomonadati; Myxococcota; Myxococcia; Myxococcales
Description: partial 16S ribosomal RNA
Rfam family: Bacterial small subunit ribosomal RNA
Source: RNAcentral